RNAcentral lists this ribosomal RNA (116 nucleotides) under Neogale vison (American mink). The record is from RNAcentral. Lineage: Eukaryota; Metazoa; Chordata; Mammalia; Carnivora; Mustelidae.
AUGAACCAUACCACCCUGAACGCGCCUGAUCUCGUCUGAUCUCGGAAGCUAAGCAGGGUCGGGCCUGGUUAGUACUUGGAUGGGAGAACACUGGAGGGGCACCUGGGUGGCUCAGU